This 345-nucleotide transfer-messenger RNA is filed under the name uncultured Ruminococcus sp. It matches the Rfam family "transfer-messenger RNA". Rfam says of the family: Bacterial tmRNA, also known as 10Sa RNA or SsrA, is named for its dual tRNA and mRNA-like properties. Its role is to liberate the mRNA from a stalled ribosome. The record is from RNAcentral. Lineage: Bacteria; Bacillati; Bacillota; Clostridia; Eubacteriales; Oscillospiraceae.
GGGGAUGUAAAGGUUUCGACGGGGGUUUUGACCCUUGGUAAGCGAGUAGCGGUGCGGAACCGCUUUAAAAUCCGCAACUUUAAAAAUAACUGACAACAAAACAGUUGCUUUAGCAGCUUAAUGCUGCUUGUCCUGUCUGAGAGCACCACGACUCAGAUAAGGGCAUCGAUUAGUGGUAAAUGUGAAUCAAAGAGUGCCUUGGCUUUGGUCACACAUUAAAGGCUAUCAGACUAUAUAGCUUGUUAUUGGGCGCUAUAGCCUGAGAAAUCAAAGCAAUAACUACACUCGUAGAAAGCCUUGACGAUUAACCUUCGGACAGGAGUUCAAUUCUCCUCAUCUCCACCA